UAGCCUUUACUCAAGUGAGGAUUCCCUAAGAACUCCUCUAAGGCACCAAGUUGAAGAGCGGAAGCGAUUUAUGCAAAAAGAAGCUAUAAAGAACAAUAGAAAGAUCACACAUAAAAUGUUUGAGUAAAUGCUUUCAAUAUUCUCUUAUUCACAAAGAAUAAUGAAACAAUGAAUGGAUUGAGUACAAAUGAGGGAGAGACUCUCUAUUUAUAGUUGAGCUCUCCCAAAAUCGAUGGUC
This 238-nucleotide long non-coding RNA is filed under the name Gossypium barbadense (sea-island cotton). Its description in RNAcentral is "long non-coding RNA (GBAR_LNC017846)". Lineage: Eukaryota; Viridiplantae; Streptophyta; Magnoliopsida; Malvales; Malvaceae. The record is from RNAcentral.